This 69-nucleotide transfer RNA is filed under the name Pyrocoelia rufa. Its description in RNAcentral is "tRNA-Val". Lineage: Eukaryota; Metazoa; Arthropoda; Insecta; Coleoptera; Lampyridae. The record is from RNAcentral.
CAAAUUGAAGCUUUAUAGAAGCUUUUUAUUUACAUUAAGAUUAUUACUGUUUAAUUCGGUGCAAUUUGU